UCGCUGCGUAGUGAAUCAUCGAAUCUUUGAACGCAAUUUGCACCUCGUCGCCUCGGUGACAAGGUAUACUUGUUUGAGUAUCACAAACAAUCUCACCCUCCCUUUUGGGUAUGUGGACUUGAGAGUUCUACCUCUUCCGCGGUAGUCUCUUUAAAAUCAGGCUUUGAAGUCUCAGCAUGAGAUGAUUAUUGGGAUAACAUCCUAACAAUAGUCAUUGCUUUGACUUGAACCUUUUCAGUGGGAGCAAAGCCACCCGUUUGCUACAUCGCAAGCUGUAGUGACCAACACUUUUAAAAUGAUCUCAAAUCAAGUAAGGAUACCCGCUGAACUUAAGCAUAUCAAUAAGCGGAGG
RNAcentral lists this ribosomal RNA (352 nucleotides) under uncultured Agaricales. Its description in RNAcentral is "eukaryotic LSU rRNA". The stretch from base 297 to 352 matches the Rfam family "Eukaryotic large subunit ribosomal RNA", at positions 1 to 56 of the family's 3401-position model. Lineage: Eukaryota; Fungi; Basidiomycota; Agaricomycetes; Agaricales. The record is from RNAcentral.